GAUGAAGAACGUAGUAAAAUGCGAUAAUUAAUGUGAAUUGCAGAAUUCAGUGAAUCAUCGAGUCUUUGAACGCACAUUGCGCCCCCUGGUAUUCCGUGGGGCAUGCCUGUUCGAGCGUCAUUUACCCCCUCAAGCUCCGCUUGGUGUUGGGCGUCUGUCCCGCUUCGCGCGCGGACUCGCCCCAAAGGUAUUGGCAGCGGUCGUGCCAGCUUCUCGCGCAGCACAUUGCGCUUCUCGAGGCACCGGUGGGCCCGCGUCCAUCAAGCUCACCCCCCCAGUUUGACCUCGGAUCAGGUAGGGAUACCCGCUGAACUUAAGCAUAUCAAUAAGCGGAGGA
RNAcentral lists this unclassified non-coding RNA (337 nucleotides) under soil metagenome. RNAcentral's name for it is "partial contains 5.8S ribosomal RNA, internal transcribed spacer 2, and large subunit ribosomal RNA". The stretch from base 1 to 120 matches the Rfam family "5.8S ribosomal RNA", at positions 35 to 154 of the family's 154-position model. The record is from RNAcentral.